AUAAACCAUUAGGGGGGCCCGAAGAGGCGGGCUGAGAUAGGCACCCGAUGAUGUGCUUGACUCUUUGAACCUGAUCUGGUUAAUACCAGCGAAGGGAAUGUGGGGAGUACUAUAC
RNAcentral lists this non-coding RNA (115 nucleotides) under Desulforamulus reducens. RNAcentral describes it as "Desulfotomaculum reducens TPP sequence". It matches the Rfam family "TPP riboswitch aptamer (THI element)". Rfam says of the family: Vitamin B(1) in its active form thiamin pyrophosphate (TPP) is an essential coenzyme that is synthesised by coupling of pyrimidine and thiazole moieties in bacteria. The previously detected thiamin-regulatory element, thi box was extended, resulting in a new, highly conserved RNA secondary structure, the THI element, which is widely distributed in eubacteria and also occurs in some archaea. RNAcentral also lists the same sequence under 1 other name. The record is from RNAcentral. Lineage: Bacteria; Bacillati; Bacillota; Clostridia; Eubacteriales; Peptococcaceae.